UAGUGUUAAUUGUAUUUGUGGGCUGCAGGCCUUUGUAACAACUGACUGCCUGCAGACUGCUAAUACUCUAAUAAAGACUCCAAGAUUUGAUCCUUCAAUAUGUGGCCUCUCGGAUAAUUCACUAUAUAACAAAUUAGAAUGGUGCCUGA
Molecule: long non-coding RNA, 149 nt
Organism: Perognathus longimembris pacificus (Pacific pocket mouse)
Lineage: Eukaryota; Metazoa; Chordata; Mammalia; Rodentia; Heteromyidae
Exons: 3
Source: RefSeq, a predicted model, not a curated record